UUACAUGUAGUAGGAGUAUUAUAAAUACGAAUGCGAGUUAAAAUGGUCACUGAGAAGUUAUGUUAGCAUUUCAGAUUUGAGUAAGACGGAUGACGGUGAGACCACUGCUUAAUUUCACUUCCAUCCAUACCGCGUCGUCCAGUAAACGAAAACGCAUAUGUGACACUUACCUUACUUCACCACGGGGCUAAACAUACGUUAGUUUUUAAGGAGGAGAGAUCAUACCAAAAGAAGAAGGCGAGGAAUGGAAAAGUAAAAGAAAUGGUUGUCAUCGUCAUAUUGUUGAUUGCAUUGUGCUCCCCAUCAUAAGGAAGGAGGAGGAGAGGGUAGAAAUCGUGAGACUGGAUGACUGCUGCUGGACCAGACCAGCCUGCUUGGCGUCGUGGCUUUUUUCUCUUAGGAAGGUCAACCCUGGAAUGUGACCCUUUGUUUAAGAGUCCCAUUGUUACGUGGCUAUUCAUCUCUCUGUAUCUUGUGUGUCGUCUCAUAAAUGUCUUCUCCUGUCUUGUCUUCCCUUCACAGGGUUGAUUAUUAACAGGGACUUAAAGGAAGCCGAUCCUCUCCUGCCUGCAGUUUGGUUAGGGCUUAAAUCCAGCGUAAUGGAUGUGCUUGGAAUUAAAAUGGCUGCUUAAAUGUGGAUAGUGAAACAUUCUUGUCUUGUGUUUUUCUAAAUACUUCAUAUCCGCAGAGGAUAGAUUGUAUCGGUGUGCUUACAUGUGGUUGGAGAUGUCUUAUCCAUCCACCGAGAAGCUGGCAGACUGCGUGGAACCAAGACACGCUAAAAGGACUCGAUUACAUACAGAAUGGUCAAGUACAGAGAGAGACACGCAGUCUGGUCUUCCAGCCAGUUGGUCAUUGUUCAUUGCACACGAAGAGAAAUGAUUGUUGACUUUGUGAUGUGUAAUUGGAGGUUGAUUCCCUCUGUCUUAUGUAAAUAUCAAGGAUGUGUACAUAUGUACAGUGAGUGAUAGCAAGUGCAAGUGAGUGAUAGCGGCAGACAAAAAAUGUGUAUUUUAUACUGCUCAUAAAUAUGUAUGAAUGCUGAUUAAAACCAAUUUUACAUUAAUUUUGAGUGUCACUUUUCCACGAGCAAAAACCUACUUAUUAGACAGUAAAGAAUGCAAGAAUUUAGCACUUUGGAAUUUUUAGGGAAAGCAUCCUCAUCUAUUGUCAUCAUUUAUAAAUUGGAAUAAUGAACAAAGUGGAAAAGUAUCCAUCCAUCGAUUGAUAAUCCAACAACAACGCCACGCCGCAUGGUGGUCUCUUUCUCCUCACGUCGGGUCCAAACACUUACGUCCUGGGCAACAUCGUGCUUUGCAUUAUCACAUUACAUUAAACCACAUUAAACCAUUAUUGGUUUUCAUGGCUUGAAAGGUCGUCUCAUGUCUGAAGUCAUGUAAAGUAAUCUUCCUGCUCUUUCGCCUCCUCCUCCUGUCCGUAGACCAGACCAGGAAAGGGUUGAGAUGAGAUGAGUGGAGUUGAAUGAUGAGUUUGUAAUGUCAUGUUUCUUAUUGACGGGAAGCAUUAUCCGGCCCUCCUCGUAUUCAAAGGAGAGAGAGCCAGAGACGCUUCAAUUUGUGCAUGAUCUGAAUAACCGCUAAGUAAUACGCUGGCCGUCAUGAUAACGUUGAUCUGAAGACGGCAAAUCGAAACUACACAGUACACACAUAUUUGUCCUUAGUUGGGCGGGGGCGAAAGUAAAGUGGUCCUCUAUAGAAAAUAAGUUAGUAAUACAUACAGUAAAUAGCCGAUACUAAAA
Molecule: long non-coding RNA, 1759 nt
Organism: Folsomia candida
Lineage: Eukaryota; Metazoa; Arthropoda; Collembola; Entomobryomorpha; Isotomidae
Exons: 4
Source: RefSeq, a predicted model, not a curated record